RNAcentral lists this long non-coding RNA (529 nucleotides) under Salvia miltiorrhiza (redroot sage). Its description in RNAcentral is "long non-coding RNA (SMIL_LNC000227)". The record is from RNAcentral. Lineage: Eukaryota; Viridiplantae; Streptophyta; Magnoliopsida; Lamiales; Lamiaceae.
ACACUAACACAAACACACGCACACACCCACAGCCGCACACCCCCCCCAACUCUCCUUCCCCUUCUCUCCCUCUCGGUUCUCUGUCUCCUCCUCUCUGUCCGGCCAAGAGCGGCGCCGCCACGCCGGCGCACCGCCUCACCUCCGCGUCUCCACUUCCCUCUCACUCUCUCGGAUUCCGCCCCCAUCACUCGCCCUCUAUCGCACCGGACCCAGAACUCCCUCCGACGACUGCACCAGACCAGCCGCCGCCGCCUGAACUCCCUCCCUCUUCACUCAAAUCGGCCGACAGCAGCAGAAGAAACGGACUGCCGCCGCGCCCAACACCUCCCUCGUCUCUCUCUCAAUCCUCCCCUGUUCACAGAUCCGGCGGCCGCAUCAGUAGGAGCUAACCACCGCCGCCCUUCUCACCCUCUCUCUCUCUGCACACUCCGGUCAACAGUGGCGCGGAGCCACCGCCGGCCGCCGCCUGCCCUCUCCCCUGAUUUCGACUCACACACAGCAAACACACAUACUCAACAUCAUAAGCUUC